UCUUGUUUGUCUUGUGGCUAUAAUCAAUUUCAGACAGAAAAUUAAUAGCUGACAAUUCCCUGAUUGAGACAGAUAAAAGUGCCCAAAACAAUUAACAUCUGUGCAACUUCAUGGAGUAAUGAACAUCUGAAACACUCCUUCAGGACUAGAAUAAAGUUUAAUCACAUCUUGAGGAAACGUCAGGGUUUGUUCCUUUUCAUUUUAUUUUGCUUCUCUGCCAGAUGAAAUUGUUUCACUUCAAAGGCAGCUGAGCAGAGAGAAAUAGAGGGAGACAGAGAGAACUUUCUUCUCACACUUCAUUAACGUUGAUAAGAUGUUCUCUUUUGGGGAAUAGAAGACCCUGACUAGUGGGAGUCAGAUUUGAUUACUGAAUUGAGCUGAAAAUGAGAACAUCUGACGCUAAGCUCUGUACAUACAGAUGAUGCUGAACAUGAUCUUUUGAGCUGUAAAGAGAAAAAAGAUUUAAAAUUAACAAGUUUAUUCUGGACAUGGUGAGGCUUUACACAGAUUUGGUGACAGUGUAUCUGGGGUUAAAAUUACAAAAAAGGAUUAAAUAGGAAUAUCUUCAACAAAAGGUCAGCCAGAUAAGUAACAUAUAAACUUGUUGGGCCAUUUUAUUUUAUUUUAUCCACGUGAAAGCUUGAUGCACUGAUUUUCAGCACUUUUUUAAAAAUUGGGGGGAAAUAAAAUUUUACAAAGGCUUAAGAGUUGAGAGGAAGUAGGAAAAUAUAUUUUAUUAAUUAAAACUGCCAGCGAAACAAGUUAGUAAACUGUUGCUUAUUUACACAUUUAGCAGACACAGAGCAACAUUACCCAGCAAACAUUUCCUCAACCUGCGUCAAGGCCAACAAGUCCAAUAGAUGUCGAGUCACAAUAUGACUUUAUUUUUCGAUCAUUUGCCGACCUGAAAACAUAGUCUUAGGGAAAUAGUGAUUUCGAGGAAAACUUAUUUUACAGUGGUGUAACCAAAUGAACACUGUUUAAUACAACAACGAUAUAACUUUGUAACAUGAGUGUGAACAGUAGUGUUUACACAUGAAUUGUGUUAUUGAAAAGAGUUUUUAUUCUAAACGCAAUAUGCUAUCAUGUAGUCUAUAUGGCCAAUAUAGGGGCUAAAAUAGGUGUUUGAUCCCAGCAUUUCCCCGAGUUCCAUUUGGGAACUAUUUUUCCUUGCGCACCAACACUACAAGUAAUUCCUUUGGCCUCCAACGCAUUCGCAACAGGUGAUAUCAGUUCCACGCUGAGUUCGACAGGAGGGGUGGAAGUUUCAGAGAUGGAAUUGAUGAAACCACAGAAAGUGAAAUCAAAGCAGCCAUGGGUGUCCACCUUAAGCACGCACCUGGACACAAAGAUUGGAGGGAUGGGAUUUGGGUCCAAACAAAUAUAAUUUUCAUACAUGUUUUUGUUCUGGAUGUUGUACUUUGGGUAAUAUGGAGUAAAAUGCCAUGUAUUAAUGCUUGAUUUAAAGCAUUCAUAAUUAAAGGAAUUAUUAGUAUUCUGGGAAAAAUAUUCUGCAACAUUAUUAAUAAACCAAUGCCAAACUGGAUUCUUGCCAAAUUCUGGCACAACAGACCAUUUUUUAAAUUUAUUUAUUUAUUUUAUCAUGGCAACGGCAGCACAUGUAGAUGCGGUGUCAAGUAACUCCCUCCCUUUUAAUUUGCUAUUUUUAUGCCUUAAUUAGUGAAGCACGUAUUACUUAUGACAGUAAUACACUCACCAACAUCGGAAAAGGAAGUGCAAGGAUUGGAUUAAGUGCAGUGGACCUUGAGACGAUCACUGUUCACAGCAUCUCCCGUCCUGACAAUGAGACCAGUCGGGCUAAACGUCACCGCAAGCGAUGUGACCGAAACAGGAAAAUAAAAUGGAUGACAUCAGACUCAGGCUAACUCAACAACGGGAAAUCAGAGACUGCUGUGCCCUGAUCUUUACUGAGACCUGGCUGCAUCACAACAUCCCGCAUGAAUGUAUAUUUUCUCCUAUACUGAUACUGAUACUCACUGUAUGAUGGAAGGUCUAAUGUAGGAGCUAAAUACACAACCACGAAGACCCUCCACUGUCUACGUACUAAUACACACACACACACACAUACCAACAACAUCCUCACCUCAAAUACACACACACACACUCACUGACAACAUCAAUACACAGUUCCAGUCUUUCACAAACACACAGAGCAAAUGUUCAUUGUUUUUUUUAAGCUAUUUUCCUGAUUUUAUGAAUUGUACUUUUUUGUUUUCUUUUAAUCUCAUUAUUACUUGACGCUUUGGCAAUAUUGUCUUUGUUACACUCAUGCCAAUAAAGCAUAUUGAAUUGAAUUAUUAUAGAUGGAUCUAUCAAAUUUCUGAAUUACAUGACACUUUAGCACAGGAGUGUUUAUUCGGUUACACCACUGUAAUACAAGUUUUCUGUCAGCAAAGGGUUAAAAUAAAGUCAUGUUGUGACUCCA
Molecule: long non-coding RNA, 2446 nt
Organism: Siniperca chuatsi (mandarin fish)
Lineage: Eukaryota; Metazoa; Chordata; Actinopteri; Centrarchiformes; Sinipercidae
Exons: 2
Source: RefSeq, a predicted model, not a curated record